Molecule: ribosomal RNA, 506 nt
Filed under: uncultured bacterium
Lineage: Bacteria
Description: bacterial SSU rRNA
Rfam family: Bacterial small subunit ribosomal RNA
Source: RNAcentral
AGAGUUUGAUCCUGGCUCAGGAUGAACGCUAGCGAUAGGCCUAACACAUGCAAGUCGAGGGGCAGCGAGCCGUAGCAAUACGGUGUCGGCGACCGGCGAAUGGGUGAGUAACGCGUAUGCAACCUUUCCACAAAACGGGGACAGCCUUCCGAAAGGGAGAUUAAUACCCGAUGGCCUUGCCGGGCCGCAUGAUCUGGCAAGUAAAAUUUAUUGAUUGUGGGUGGGCAUGCGUCCCAUUAGGCAGUUGGCGGGUAACGGCCCACCAAACCGACGAUGGGUAGGGGUUCUGAGAGGAAAAUCCCCCACAUUGGAACUGAGACACGGUCCAAACUCCUACGGGAGGCAGCAGUGAGGAAUAUUGGUCAAUGGGCGGAAGCCUGAACCAGCCAAGUCGCGUGCGGGACGAAGGCCCUACGGGUCGUAAACCGCUUUUGUACGGGAAUAAAGUCACCCACGUGUGGGUGUUUGUAGGUACCGUAAGAAUAAGGAUCGGCUAACUCCGUGCC